CGUGUAGGCGGCUUGUUAAGUCGGGUGUGAAAGCCCUCAGCUCAACUGAGGAAGGGCGCCCGAAACUGGCGAGCUUGAGUGUCGGAGAGGAUGGCGGAAUACCCCAAGUAGAGGUGAAAUUCGUAGAUAUGGGGUGGAACACCGGUGGCGAAGGCGGCCAUCUGGACGACAACUGACGCUGAGACGCGAAAGCGUGGGUAGCAAACA
RNAcentral lists this ribosomal RNA (207 nucleotides) under uncultured bacterium. RNAcentral's name for it is "partial 16S ribosomal RNA". It matches the Rfam family "Bacterial small subunit ribosomal RNA", at positions 568 to 774 of the family's 1533-position model. The record is from RNAcentral.